UGUAAAAAACUUGUUAAAAUUUUUGUUGGUUACUUUAUAUUUACAGCUCUUUUUCCUCUCUAACAGGCUCCAGACAGAUGAGUAGAGAGCUGGCUGCAGAAGAGGGACAGAUUCCAGCUUGCCAGCUGCUCACCGUGUGCAGAGUGCCUGCAGGCCUGAGUGCAGCUGUGUGAGCCUAAAGAUGAAUUUCAGAGUGAGGGAAUGUAGUGAGUGACAGGGAGGGGACAGAACCUGCAGCCACGUGGCACCGACAGCAAUAAACCUGGGUGAGU
Molecule: long non-coding RNA, 272 nt
Filed under: Junco hyemalis (dark-eyed junco)
Lineage: Eukaryota; Metazoa; Chordata; Aves; Passeriformes; Passerellidae
Description: lncRNA (ENSJHYG00000008036.1)
Source: RNAcentral